This 254-nucleotide ribosomal RNA is filed under the name uncultured bacterium. Its description in RNAcentral is "partial 16S ribosomal RNA". It matches the Rfam family "Bacterial small subunit ribosomal RNA", at positions 524 to 776 of the family's 1533-position model. The record is from RNAcentral.
UACGGGGGGAGCAAGCGUUGUUCGGAUUUACUGGGCGUAAAGGGCGCGUAGGCGGUCAGCACAAGUCAGUUGUGAAAUCUCCGGGCUUAACUCGGAAAGGUCAACUGAUACUGUGCGACUAGAGUGCGGAAGGGGCAACUGGAAUUCUCGGUGUAGCGGUGAAAUGCGUAGAGAUCCGGAAGAACACCAAAGGCGAAGGCACCAUCCUGGGGAGUCACUGACGCUCGGGUGCGAAAGCCAGGGGAGCGAACGGG